GACGAACGCUGGCGGCGUGCUUAACACAUGCAAGUCGAACGGAAAGGCCCUGCUUUUGUGGGGUGCUCGAGUGGCGAACGGGUGAGUAACACGUGAGUAACCUGCCCUUGACUUUGGGAUAACUUCAGGAAACUGGGGCUAAUACCGGAUAGGAGCUCCUGCUGCAUGGUGGGGGUUGGAAAGUUUCGACGGUUAGGGAUGGACUCGCGGCUUAUCCGCCUGUUGGUGGGGUAGUGUCUUACCAAGGCUUUGUCGGGUAGCCGGCCUGAGGGGGUGACAGGACACAUUGGGACAGAGUUACAGCCCAGACUCCUUCGGGAGGCAGCCGUGAGGAAUAUAGCACAAUGAGCGGAAGCCGAUUGCAGCAACGCCGCGUGCGGAAUCACGGCCUUCGGGUUAUAAACCGCUUUCGCCGGUGACGAAGGAUGAGUGACGGUAGUUGGUAAAGAAGCACCGGCUAACUACGUG
This 468-nucleotide ribosomal RNA is filed under the name uncultured bacterium. RNAcentral's name for it is "partial 16S ribosomal RNA". It matches the Rfam family "Bacterial small subunit ribosomal RNA", at positions 28 to 507 of the family's 1533-position model. The record is from RNAcentral.